RNAcentral lists this ribosomal RNA (502 nucleotides) under Epicoccum nigrum. RNAcentral's name for it is "eukaryotic LSU rRNA". The stretch from base 130 to 283 matches the Rfam family "5.8S ribosomal RNA". Lineage: Eukaryota; Fungi; Ascomycota; Dothideomycetes; Pleosporales; Didymellaceae. The record is from RNAcentral.
ACUUCGGUCUGCUACCUCUUACCCAUGUCUUUUGAGUACCUUCGUUUCCUCGGCGGGUCCGCCCGCCGGUUGGACAACAUUCAAACCCUUUGCAGUUGCAAUCAGCGUCUGAAAAAACUUAAUAGUUACAACUUUCAACAACGGAUCUCUUGGUUCUGGCAUCGAUGAAGAACGCAGCGAAAUGCGAUAAGUAGUGUGAAUUGCAGAAUUCAGUGAAUCAUCGAAUCUUUGAACGCACAUUGCGCCCCUUGGUAUUCCAUGGGGCAUGCCUGUUCGAGCGUCAUUUGUACCUUCAAGCUCUGCUUGGUGUUGGGUGUUUUGUCUCGCCUCCGCGCGCAGACUCGCCUUAAAACAAUUGGCAGCCGGCGUAUUGAUUUCGGAGCGCAGUACAUCUCGCGCUUUGCACUCAUAACGACGACGUCCAAAAGUACAUUUUUACACUCUUGACCUCGGAUCAGGUAGGGAUACCCGCUGAACUUAAGCAUAUCAAUAAGCGGAGGAA